Molecule: ribosomal RNA, 490 nt
Filed under: uncultured bacterium
Lineage: Bacteria
Description: partial 16S ribosomal RNA
Rfam family: Bacterial small subunit ribosomal RNA
Source: RNAcentral
GAUGAACGCUAGCUACAGGCUUAACACAUGCAAGUCGAGGGGCAGCAUGGUCUUAGCUUGCUAAGGCCGAUGGCGACCGGCGCACGGGUGAGUAACACGUAUCCAACCUGCCGUCUACUCUUGGACAGCCUUCUGAAAGGAAGAUUAAUACAAGAUGGCAUCAUGAGUUCACAUGUUCACAUGAUUAAAGGUAUUCCGGUAGACGAUGGGGAUGCGUUCCAUUAGAUAGUAGGCGGGGUAACGGCCCACCUAGUCUUCGAUGGAUAGGGGUUCUGAGAGGAAGGUCCCCCACAUGGGAACUGAGACACGGUCCAAACUCCUACGGGAGGCAGCAGUGAGGAAGAGUGGUCAAGGGGCGAGAGCCUGAACCAGCCAAGUAGCGUGAAGGAGGACUGCCCUAUGGGUUGUAAACUUCUUUUAUAAAGGAAUAAAGUCGGGUAUGGAUACCCGUUUGCAUGUACUUUAUGAAUAAGGAUCGGCUAACUCCGUG